RNAcentral lists this ribosomal RNA (561 nucleotides) under Phascolosoma esculenta. RNAcentral's name for it is "partial 16S ribosomal RNA". It matches the Rfam family "Bacterial large subunit ribosomal RNA", at positions 1835 to 2620 of the family's 2925-position model. The record is from RNAcentral. Lineage: Eukaryota; Metazoa; Annelida; Sipuncula; Phascolosomatiformes; Phascolosomatidae.
GCAUUUCAGUAUUGGAGGCAUUGCCUGCCCAGUGACAACUGUUUAACGGCCGCGGUAUCCUGACCGUGCAAAGGUAGCAUAAUCAUUUGUUCUCUAAAUAAGGACUUGUAUGAAUGGCCGCACGAGGGUUUUACUGUCUCUUACUUCCAAUCAGUGAAAUUGACCUUCCCGUGAAGAGGCGGGAAUGCACAAAUAAGACGAGAAGACCCUAUGGAGCUUUAACUAACCAACCCAAAGAGAAUAGAUUUAACCAUUAAGGAAUAACAACAAUCUCCAUGAGUUGGUAGUUUCGGUUGGGGUGACCUCGGAGAAUAAAAAAUCCUCCGAGCGAUUUUAAAGACUAGACCCACAAGUCAAAUCACUCUAUCGCUCAUUGAUCCAAAAACUUGAUCAACGGAACAAGUUACCCUAGGGAUAACAGCGCAAUCCUAUUCAAGAGUCCAUAUCGACAAUAGGGUUUACGACCUCGAUGUUGGAUCAGGACAUCCUGAUGGUGCAACCGCUAUCAAAGGUUCGUUUGUUCAACGAUUAAAGUCCUACGUGAUCUGAGUUCAGACCGGA